GCAGGUGGGCAUGAAAACACGGAAAUUCACAGACACGCAGGUGGGCAUGAAAACAUGGAAAUUCACAGACAUGCAGGUGGGCAUGAAAACACGGAAAUUCACAGACACGCAGGUGGGCAUGAAAACACAGAAAUUCACAGACAUGCAGGUGGGCAUGAAAACACGGAAAUUCACAGACACUCGCAGGUGGGCGUGAAAACACGGAAAUUCACAGACACGCAGGUGGGCGUGAAAACACGGAAAUUCACAGACGCACAGGUGGGCGUGAAAACACGGAAAUUCACAGACACGCAGGUGGGCAUGAAAACACGGAAAUUAACAGAGACGCGCAGGUUGGCAUGACCAGGCUCGCAUGGGCAAGAUGUGUUUCUUCCAGAUUACCGGGCAGCAGAGCGG
This 396-nucleotide non-coding RNA is filed under the name Pan troglodytes (chimpanzee). Lineage: Eukaryota; Metazoa; Chordata; Mammalia; Primates; Hominidae. The record is from RNAcentral.